GACGAACGCUGGCGGCGUGCUUAGCACAUGCAAGUCGAACGGAAAGGCCCUGCUUGCAGGGUACUCGAGUGGCGAACGGGUGAGUAACACGUGGGUGAUCUGCCCUGCACUUCGGGAUAGGCCUGGGAAACUGGGUCUAAUACCGGAUAGGAGCCAUUUUUAGUGUGAUGGUUGGAAAGUUUUUUCGGUGUAGGAUGAGCUCGCGGCCUAUCAGCUUGUUGGUGGGGUAAUGGCCUACCAAGGCGGCGACGGGUAGCCGGCCUGAGAGGGUGGACGGCCACAUUGGGACUGAGAUACGGCCCAGACUCCUACGGGAGGCAGCAGUGGGGAAUAUUGCACAAUGGGCGCAAGCCUGAUGCAGCGACGCCGCGUGGGGGAUGACGGCCUUCGGGUUGUAAACUCCUUUCGCUAGGGACGAAGCUUUUGUGACGGUACCUAGAUAAGAAGCACCGGCUAACUACGUG
This 464-nucleotide ribosomal RNA is filed under the name uncultured bacterium. Its description in RNAcentral is "partial 16S ribosomal RNA". It matches the Rfam family "Bacterial small subunit ribosomal RNA", at positions 28 to 507 of the family's 1533-position model. The record is from RNAcentral.